CCUACGGGUGGCAGCAGUGGGGAAUAUUGGACAAUGGGCGAAAGCCUGAUCCAGCCAUGCCGCGUGUGUGAAGAAGGCCUUCGGGUUGUAAAGCACUUUCAGUGGGGAAGAAAGCCUUGGGGCUAAUACCCUCGAGGAAGGACAUCACCCACAGAAGAAGCACCGGCUAACUCCGUGCCAGCAGCCGCGGUAAUACGGAGGGUGCGAGCGUUAAUCGGAAUUACUGGGCGUAAAGCGUGCGUAGGCGGUCUGAUAAGCCGGUUGUGAAAGCCCCGGGCUCAACCUGGGAACGGCAUCCGGAACUGUCAGGCUAGAGUGCAGGAGAGGAAGGUAGAAUUCCCGGUGUAGCGGUGAAAUGCGUAGAGAUCGGGAGGAAUACCAGUGGCGAAGGCGGCCUUCUGGACUGACACUGACGCUGAGGUGCGAAAGCGUGGGUAGCAAACAGGAUUAGAUACCCCGGUAGUC
RNAcentral lists this ribosomal RNA (465 nucleotides) under Vreelandella stevensii. RNAcentral describes it as "partial 16S ribosomal RNA". It matches the Rfam family "Bacterial small subunit ribosomal RNA", at positions 338 to 795 of the family's 1533-position model. The record is from RNAcentral. Lineage: Bacteria; Pseudomonadati; Pseudomonadota; Gammaproteobacteria; Oceanospirillales; Halomonadaceae.